GAUAAAAAAUUGUUUUGCCUAUAUGUCC
This 28-nucleotide unclassified non-coding RNA is filed under the name Neurospora intermedia. Its description in RNAcentral is "partial miscellaneous RNA". Lineage: Eukaryota; Fungi; Ascomycota; Sordariomycetes; Sordariales; Sordariaceae. The record is from RNAcentral.